RNAcentral lists this small nuclear RNA (176 nucleotides) under Myotis brandtii (Brandt's bat). RNAcentral's name for it is "U2 spliceosomal RNA". It matches the Rfam family "U2 spliceosomal RNA". Rfam says of the family: U2 is a small nuclear RNA (snRNA) component of the spliceosome (involved in pre-mRNA splicing). Complementary binding between U2 snRNA (in an area lying towards the 5' end but 3' to hairpin I) and the branchpoint sequence (BPS) of the intron results the bulging out of an unpaired adenosine, on the BPS, which initiates a nucleophilic attack at the intronic 5' splice site, thus starting the first of two transesterification reactions that mediate splicing. The record is from Rfam by way of RNAcentral. Lineage: Eukaryota; Metazoa; Chordata; Mammalia; Chiroptera; Vespertilionidae.
GUCCCAUCUUGGCCUUUUGGCUAAGAUCAAGUGUAGUAUCUGUUCUUAUCAGUUUAAUAGAGUAUGGUUCCACAGUGAUUGUAACUGACCUAUGGACCAACCAAGCCUUUCUGCAAGAUGCUGAAAGUUUGGAAGAGGAUCGCCGACUUUUAUUUUUCUGUAGUCUCUCACUAUGA